AGGACGAACGCUGGCGGCGUGCUUAACACAUGCAGGUCGAACGGAAAGGCCCGCUUGCGGGUACUCGAGUGGCGAACGGGUGAGUAACACGUGGGCAACCUGCCCUCAGCUCUGGGAUAACUCCGGGAAACCGGUGCUAAUACUGGAUAUCGACUCUGCCUCGCAUGGGGUGUUGUUGAAAGUUUUUUCGGCUGGGGAUGGGCCCGCGGCCUAUCAGCUUGUUGGUGGGGUGAUGGCCUACCAAGGCGACGACGGGUA
Molecule: ribosomal RNA, 258 nt
Filed under: uncultured bacterium
Lineage: Bacteria
Description: partial small subunit ribosomal RNA
Rfam family: Bacterial small subunit ribosomal RNA
Source: RNAcentral